RNAcentral lists this ribosomal RNA (540 nucleotides) under uncultured bacterium. RNAcentral's name for it is "partial 16S ribosomal RNA". It matches the Rfam family "Bacterial small subunit ribosomal RNA", at positions 355 to 910 of the family's 1533-position model. The record is from RNAcentral.
UGGGGAAUAUUGCACAAUGGGCGAAAGCCUGAUGCAGCAACGCCGCGUGAGUGAUGAAGGCCUUCGGGUUGUAAAGCUCUGUCUUUUGGGACGAUAAUGACGGUACCAAAGGAGGAAGCCACGGCUAACUACGUGCCAGCAGCCGCGGUAAUACGUAGGUGGCAAGCGUUGUCCGGAUUUACUGGGCGUAAAGGAUGCGUAGGCGGAUUUUUAAGUGAGAUGUGAAAACCCUAAGCUUAACUUGGGGACUGCAUUUCAUACUGGAAAUCUAGAGUGCGGGAGAGGAGAAUGGAAUUCCUAGUGUAGCGGUGAAAUGCGUAGAGAUUAGGAAGAACACCAGUGGCGAAGGCGAUUCUCUGGACCGUAACUGACGCUGAGGCAUGAAAGCGUGGGUAGCAAACAGGAUUAGAUACCCUGGUAGUCCACGCCGUAAACGAUGAGUACUAGGUGUAGGAGGUAUCGACCCCUUCUGUGCCGCAGUUAACACAAUAAGUACUCCGCCUGGGAAGUACGAUCGCAAGAUUAAAAACUCAAAAUGAA